CAGUCGCCGCGGUAAUGCGUAGGGUGCAAGCGUUAAUCGGAAUUACUGGGCGUAAAGCGUGCGCAGGCGGUUUGUUAAGACAGAUGUGAAAUCCCCGGGCUCAACCUGGGAACUGCAUUUGUGACUGGCAAGCUAGAGUGUGGCAGAGGGGGGUGGAAUUCCGCGUGUAGCAGUGAAAUGCGUAGAUAUGCGGAGGAACACCGAUGGCGAAGGCAGCCCCCUGGACCAACACUGACGCUCAUGCACGAAAGCGUGGGGAGCAAACAGGAUUAGAUACCCGCGUAGUCCCUGUCUCUUAUAC
Molecule: ribosomal RNA, 301 nt
Filed under: uncultured bacterium
Lineage: Bacteria
Description: partial 16S ribosomal RNA
Rfam family: Bacterial small subunit ribosomal RNA
Source: RNAcentral